Molecule: ribosomal RNA, 546 nt
Filed under: uncultured bacterium
Lineage: Bacteria
Description: bacterial SSU rRNA
Rfam family: Bacterial small subunit ribosomal RNA
Source: RNAcentral
ACGGGUGAGUAACGCGUGGGAACGUGCCCUUCGGUUCGGAAUAACUCAGGGAAACUUGAGCUAAUACCGGAUACGCCCUUAUGGGGAAUGGUUUACUGCCGAAGGAUCGGCCCGCGUCUGAUUAGCUAGUUGGUGAGGUUAUGGCUCACCAAGGCGACGAUCAGUAGCUGGUCUGAGAGGAUGAUCAGCCACACUGGGACUGAGACACGGCCCAGACUCCUACGGGAGGCAGCAGUGGGGAAUAUUGGACAAUGGGGGCAACCCUGAUCCAGCCAUGCCGCGUGAGUGAUGACGGCCUUAGGGUUGUAAAGCUCUUUUCUCCGGGACGAUAAUGACGGUACCGGAGGAAUAAGCCCCGGCUAACUUCGUGCCAGCAGCCGCGGUAAUACGAAGGGGGCUAGCGUUGCUCGGAAUCACUGGGCGUAAAGGGCGCGUAGGCGGCUGAUUUAGUCGAGGGUGAAAGCCCGUGGCUCAACCACGGAAUGGCCUUCGAUACUGAUUGGCUUGAGACCGGAAGAGGACAGCGGAACUGCGAGUGUAGAGGUG